This is a non-coding RNA of Suillus americanus, 114 nucleotides long. The record is from the annotation of a GenBank genome assembly. NCBI's taxonomy places the organism in Eukaryota, Fungi, Basidiomycota, Agaricomycetes, Boletales, Suillaceae.
GGACAGAUGGCCGAGCGGUCCAAGGCGCCAGACUAAGGAGAGAAACCAGCUCAUUUGAUGAGCGAGUGUUAUCUGGUCUCUUCGGGGGCGUGAGUUCGAAUCUCACUCUGUUCA